This 261-nucleotide long non-coding RNA is filed under the name Mytilus galloprovincialis (Mediterranean mussel). Lineage: Eukaryota; Metazoa; Mollusca; Bivalvia; Mytilida; Mytilidae. The record is from RNAcentral.
CUCGGUGGAAACUUCAAAUCGGAAAUUCCCUUAACCAGUUAUCAAAUGGCAAUUUCAAAAGUUCAAACCCAUCAAAUGAAAGGAUAACUCCUGUCAUUUUUCUGACUUGAUUUAGGCAUUUCCUUAUGUAGAAAAUGGUGGGUUAAACCUAGUUUUAUAGCUAGUUAAAAGAGGGACAAAAGAUACCAGAGGGACAGUCAAACUCAUUGAUCGAAAAUAAACUGACAACACUAGACAAACAGAUAAAUAAUAGAACACAAG